UACAGAGGGUGCAAGCGUUAAUCGGAAUUACUGGGCGUAAAGCGUGCGUAGACGGUUAUGUAAGUCGGGUGUGAAAGCCCCGGGCUCAACCUGGGAAUUGCAUUCGAGACUGCAUAGCUAGGGUGCGGAAGAGGGAAGCGGAAUUUCCGGUGUAGCGGUGAAAUGCGCAGAUAUCAGGAAGAACACCCGUGGCUAAGGCGGCUCUCUAGUACGGUACUGACGCUGAGACGCGAAAGCGUGGGGAGCGAACCGG
RNAcentral lists this ribosomal RNA (253 nucleotides) under uncultured bacterium. Its description in RNAcentral is "partial 16S ribosomal RNA". It matches the Rfam family "Bacterial small subunit ribosomal RNA", at positions 524 to 776 of the family's 1533-position model. The record is from RNAcentral.